Molecule: ribosomal RNA, 369 nt
Filed under: uncultured Pseudomonas sp.
Lineage: Bacteria; Pseudomonadati; Pseudomonadota; Gammaproteobacteria; Pseudomonadales; Pseudomonadaceae
Description: bacterial SSU rRNA
Rfam family: Bacterial small subunit ribosomal RNA
Source: RNAcentral
CCUUCGGGAACGUCUGACACAGGUGCUGCAUGGCUGUCGUCAGCUCGUGUCGUGAGAUGUUGGGUUAAGUCCCGUAACGAGCGCAACCCUUGUCCUUAGUUACCAGCACGUUAUGGUGGGCACUCUAAGGAGACUGCCGGUGACAAACCGGAGGAAGGUGGGGGAGUGACGUCAAGUCAUCAUGGCCCUUACGGCCUGGGCUACACACGUGCUACAAUGGUCGGUACAAAGGGUUGCCAAGCCGCGAGGUGGAGCUAAUCCCAUAAAACCGAUCGUAGUCCGGAUCGCAGUCUGCAACUCGACUGCGUGAAGUCGGAAUCGCUAGUAAUCGUGAAUCAGAAUGUCACGAUGAAUACGUUCCCGGGCCUU